AGGAUAAACGCUGGCGGCGUGCCUAACACAUGCAAGUCGAACGCCCUUGAGCAAUCAAGGGAGUGGCGGACGGGUGAGUAACACGUGGGUACCUACCCCAAGGUGAGGAAUACCGGCGAGAAAUCGCCGACAAUACCGCAUAGGUUUCCUCAACGAGGAAACAAAGCUCGCAAGGGCGCCAUGGGAAGGGCCUGCGGCCGAUUAGCUAGUUGGUGAGGUAAGAGCUUACCAAGGCGACGAUCGGUAGCUGGUCUGAGAGGAUGAUCAGCCACACUGGGAUUGAGAACGGCCCAGACUCCUACGGGGGGCAGCAGUGAGGAAUUUUCGUCAAUGGGGGCAACCCUGAACGAGCAACGCCGCGUGCAGGAAGAAGGUUUUCGGAUCGUAAACUGCUUUUCUCUGGGACGAGAACGGACGGUACCAGAGGAAUCAGCCCCGGCUAACUACGUGCCAGCAGCCGC
Molecule: ribosomal RNA, 461 nt
Filed under: uncultured bacterium
Lineage: Bacteria
Description: SSU rRNA
Rfam family: Bacterial small subunit ribosomal RNA
Source: RNAcentral